GACGGGGGCCCGCACAAGCAGCGGAGCAUGUGGUUUAAUUCGACGCAACGCGAAGAACCUUACCAGGUCUUGACAUCCAGUAAAAGCCAUAGAGAUAUGGUGUGUCUUCGGACAUACUGAGACAGGUGGUGCAUGGUUGUCGUCAGCUCGUGUCGUGAGAUGUUGGGUUAAGUCCCGCAACGAGCGCAACCCUUGCUGAUAGUUACUAACAGGUAAAGCUGAGGACUCUAUUAGGACUGCCGGGGACAACUCGGAGGAAGGUGGGGACGACGUCAAAUCAUCAUGCCCCUUAUGACCUGGGCUACACACGUGCUACAAUGGCCGUUACAAAGAGGUGCAAAGCCGCAAGGUGGAGCAGAUCUCAAAAAAGCGGUCUCAGUUCGGAUUGUGGGCUGCAACCCGCCCACAUGAAGUCGGAGUUGCUAGUAAUCGCGGAUCAGCAUGCCGCGGUGAAUACGUUCCCGGGCCUUGUACACACCGCCCGUCACACCAUGGGAGUUGGUAGCACCCGAAACUGGUGAGGUAACCGCAAGGAGCCAGCCAGCUAAGGUGAGACCAAUGACUGGGGUGAAGUCGUAACAAGGUAGCCGU
This 591-nucleotide ribosomal RNA is filed under the name uncultured bacterium. RNAcentral describes it as "bacterial SSU rRNA". It matches the Rfam family "Bacterial small subunit ribosomal RNA", at positions 912 to 1503 of the family's 1533-position model. The record is from RNAcentral.